UUGAACUAUUGUUUGUUUGGUUGUAGAAAGGCUAUGGCUGGAGUCACCUGCGCUCUGUGUGCUGCACAAAGGAAACAGAUCAAACAGAGGCAAACAAUUGCCAUCUGCAGUCUAGAAAAUCUGAUCCAUAACAAAAGAUGAAUAUGCAUGAAAAGAUUGAGGAAGUUACUGUAUGGGGACUGUUGAGUCACGGUCUGAAUUGAUGGAGCACCUGGGGAAAGGACCCGGUCAGCCCUGGGAGCACAGGUGAAGGCAAUUCAGCUGUGUGAGUGGAAGGGCUGCAGCCUGGCUGCACCUCUCUUAGACCUCAUUUAAGGGCUGACUGCCACUGGGGAAGGAUUUCUGGUUGGAGAUCCCUCCUGUGUGGAGUUUUCCCUGUGAGCCUGGAUUUUCAGAGAUGGAGUUGUCAGAAGGACCUGGAGAGUCUGAGGCAAUCUGAGAAGAAACACAGACUGUUCAGAAAAGCCCACGCAUCUGUCUAGAAUAGAUGCAGAAAGGUAUUUAGUUAAAAUUUCCUUUUAAAUGUGUGAUUUAUGAACAACAUAAUCUGGAUUUAUUUAUUUAUUUAUUUUACAGAGAGUGACAUUUUAAGCUGUUUCUUCCUGUAAUUUUUCUAUGCAGUUCUAGGAGGGAAUAUUCAAAGCUGGGAUAAAAGAAUGCUGUUAUGGCGACAUGACCUAGUUUAUCCUACAGCUCUUCAUCUAGAUAAAAUUUUUCACCUAGCCCAUGAAAUAGGUAAAAUCAUGCUUUUAGCUUUCCAAGUAAAGCCUAGUGUCUAGUCACUGCUAGAUCUGUUCUUCACAAAUGCAGAAAUAUCUUUCAGCAGAAUGAAUCCACAACACAGUCAGGUUGUUUGUUGUUUCUUGUUAUUUUCUGACUGAAGAAUCUGCUGACUUCUCUUUAAAAUGUAGGCUUCAAGAGCAGUGACCUUUUAAGAUUCGCUUUUCAGUUUUAUGUUUGUCUAAAACUGUUUCCUUGAAAUGGAUUAUUUAGUGACCAAUUUUCAGGACAAGUAACUCAUGUCGAUUUAUCAGGGAAGCAAAUAUUUCAGUAUUCGUCUUUGGAGAAGAUCUCUAAAAAUGGAGAUGAAUUUGGAGUAGUUGCUUGACCUUAGAUAUCUACAGCAAAACAAAACACAGCAAGAUGUGGAAAUAAAUGGUUAUUUGAUUAUGAUUUUGUUCCAUUUCAACAGAAAUAGAGUACUAUGUUCUCGUUACUGCUGUUAGCUAGGAAUAGCUACUUUAAAUCUGUGUGAGCAGAAUAGUAAAGCAGAAAAACACCAACUCUCACCAAAUCUGUGUUUACCUGUUUUGAUAUACAUUACUACACAUAAAACUAAAUGUAUUAUGAACUUACAUCAGCUGGCAGAAAAGCAGGAAAAUGCUCCAACUGUAUAUGAACCAGAUCUUGAUGGUUCAUAAAGCACAGGUGAGAGAUGUAAUUCACCAAAAACGGAGCCAUAAAUGUCACGUGGUUAUUGAUUACACCCUGAAUAGUUAAGAAUUCUUCCUAAAAGUUCUUUGAGCAUUAAAUACCACUGAUCUACAUUUAAUAUACAAUGAUGUUGCUCUAGAUCUAGGCUGGGCUCGAUUUCUUUUCUUCCAGAUGCUCUCACCUCCCUGCAAACUCGUGAUUAAACUGUUUUGAUUUCUUUUUCAGAUGCAGAAUUGUGUCUCCACUGAAAACAAAAAAAAAAAGGGUCUGUCGCAAGAAAAACUGAAUCAAAUUCUCCAGGAGUUUUUCAGUACAAUUAAGCUGUAGGAUAGUCCAUAUCAUAGGUGCAAAUCUCUCUGUUCAUUAUAGGACAGCUGACAAGGAUAUGGCAAAAGGUAAAACCAGGAAUUAUGUCUUUAAGGGCUCAUUGUAAUCUAAUUUUAUUGGUGGUACCCUCCCCAACAUAAUGAACUUUGAUGAAAUAAUGAAGUAGUUGUGGCGCCUGUGAAACUGAGCAGGCAGCUCUGCCAGUUAAAGACCUCCCAUGAACACAAUCACCCAGGCAACAACUCUGGGCUGCAGUGAAGCCAGAAACUGGCAAGUCAGCUCUUCCAUCUCUUAGCUCCUUGCAAUUCUGCUUUCUGAGACUUGGGGAAAGAAAAAAGAAAUAAAAAAGAGAGGGAGAAGAUGAAGAAGAAGAAAAAAAGAUCAUCCACUUACAUCUGUGGUUGAAGGAUAUAGCUUAAAAAAAAUAAAUUCUGUCAGAAUCCACUGAGUUGUUUAAAAUGACUCCAAGUUCGGCAGCCAGCAAAGUUACAGAAACCAUAAGGCUGGCUCUGCCACUGAAUAAGUUCAAAUAUCUAAGGAAAUGAAUACAAGGAAGACUUUAAAUAGCAAUAUUUUUAAUUCGGCAAGAUUUCCACCCCCUGCUAGACUUGGAGAGAGUGCAACAGAUGGUUACAGGAAUCUGUAAAUUUAUCAUUGUUAUUUUUAAGAAGUUGGAUCUGUGGAACACAAACAUUUAAUAAUGGAUAUAAUUAAAUUCUUUGCUAGUUAGUUUGACUCGAGUCAAUUGGCACUGUAAUGCCAUUUCAUUUACAUAAAAUGUAUAGUAAUUGUGGUUCAGAGAACUGUGAUUUUACAGAGCUGGAACUACAGAUGGAAUAAAGAUAAAAGAAAUCAGAGUUAACAACACCCCUAUGAUCUCAGAUAAUGUCUCAUAUUUGGAGUUUAGGUAUUCAAACUCUAAUCUCUAUAAUCAAACUCAGGUCCAAAUCAGCUAGAAACACAAGCAUUUUCAGUGUGACUAAUGACUUUGGGCACUCCAAUUUCCAGAUGAUUAAAUGAUGAUGUUUUCAAGUGACCUGAUUUUGAUAGUUGUUAUUAAAGCAAUUCUGAAAAUUAGACUCCCCUAGUGGUGGAAACCCCAUGGCAUCAAUGAAUUACAUGGAAUUUCUACCACCAUAACGAUGAACUUUUCUAAGAACUGAUGACCACGUUUUCAGUAAGUACAAAGCUACCUUUGAAAGCUUUACCUGAAGUUGAUCCUGAUGCUUAAUCUGAAAAUCAUCUAACUGGUCUAUCUCUACACACAAAUUCUUAUUUUGUUUGAAACUGUAGCACCUCCCUGUUUGUUUUUUUAAACAAAUAUCGACUUAUUUGAAGUCAAUAAGGCUGAUGAAAGCUGAAUGUAAUUGCUUAUUGGUAGGAAUUUUUAUUUUGAAAGCAGCUGUCUUUAAGAGGCUGCUUCUCAGUGACUCUUGAGAUAUCAGCUUCUGAAAGUAGACAAAUACAAAUUGGAGUAAAAUCACAACCAGGCUUACUGGGAAUGUUCAGCGUAUCAAUCCCCAUUAGAGCUCCUCAGGUUCUGGGUCUUCCUGAGGCCGCAGUCUUGUGUUCAUCGAUAAACGUGACAGUCACUCCCACACAAAGGUUUGGAAGCCUUUCAAGGGAUUAAAUCAUCCUUCUUCCACUCAGUAGAAGGUUCAGCCAUAUCAAUGUGCGUAUAAAUACUACUAUGUGAGUAUGCACAGGAUUGUAUGUGAGAUAGGAUACGGGUAUCCAGGAUUUGUGCCAUUCUACGAAGUUACAAAUUAGACCCAAGCUAACCAGAUUGUUAUGGAUCUGGGCCUAGUCAUUACACUGAUUUUGUGGUUACAGAGCAAGAGGUUGUGCCUUUUCAACAAUAUAUCUCUGAUUGCUCAUGAAGGCUUUUGGAUGAUUGUGGCAAUGGAUUACUGACUCAGUUUCUCGUUGCCUGCUUGUCAGAGAGAUCCAUUUCCUAUUUUUACUGGGACUACUCAAAUUGUCCAUCCAAAUUAAACGCAAAAGCAAAAUGUGCAGCUAUUGUGUAGGCUCUAAGCCAACGCUUGUCAGCAGUCAAUAGAGGAGCAGCUCCCAGAUGUCUCUUUUACCUGAAGAAACUAAAAGUACAUGGUGUCCUUUUAAUCUGGAAACAAAAGAGAACAAAGGCAAACAAAUGGAGACCAAAUUAUCUAGCCUUGAGAUCUGAAUUUACUCCAUAUUGAACUUCUGGUUCCUACCUAAUGAGCCCAUGCUGUUGCUCGCUAGUGAAUGAGAACAAAGAAAAGUGACUCAUGCUGCCUUGUUACUGUUACAUAAUCUAUACAAGUAAUUUAUUUUUAUGGUUAAUUACUGGAUUAGUAAGGUAUAUUGGAAAUGGAGAUGUGUAUAAUGGCAAGGAGAUGUGGCAGAAGGACUUACAGGAGAUUCAAAUGGUUGUCUGUAAAACUGUGCAAAAAAUAUCUGUCAGUACAUCAUGCAGGAAAAUCUCCAUAAAGCAUGACUGCUUUCAGGGUUGGUCAUUUGUGUUAACACCUCAAAGUGUGGCUGGAUUCCAUUCGGCCUCAGUAGGCCUUUGUCCUUACAUUAGUCUUUUUUUUUUUUUUUUUUUUGCAGUGACAAAACUCCCUUUAUUUCACCUCGGUGAAUAACUUCUGCUCUUACCUGCUGGGGAAACCUGGAGUCAGUAUUUGUUCCUUCUCACAUGAUUACACAGGGCCAUUUCUAUAGCCUCGCAAAAUCCCUGCUGUAUUAAUCACCACAGAGCUGUGAGAAUAAGGGAUAUAAAUCUUCCAAACCACAGUCAAACUACUAGAGAUUGGUUUAUGUCAUUUACAGAAAGGUAGAAAUAAUAAUCAUUCUGAAGUGUCUGGAUGCAUCUAACUCUGUACUAGAUAUGCAAGUAUGCAUUUGAAGCUGCAACAAUCCUUUGGUCAUCAAAUGACCUAGAUUGGGAUUACAUGCUGAGGCAUCAGUCUAAUAUGAAAUUACUCCGUGUUUUUAUUGUAAUGACCAAUUAAGAAUCAGCACCUCAGAAACCUCAGGUAGCAGUUUUCCAUGAAAUAAACAUCGACCUUGAAAAUGUGCCCCUUCUGAAAUCCUAAUGCUGAUGUAUUCUGAAAGGGUCAGACCGUCACCAUGGUGUUGGCAGGAGUGAGUUGUGUUUGGCUGCCGAAUGCCAAUACAUCCUCCAUGCCAAAGAUUAGUUGUGAGCAGGGAAGUUGCUAGGAGCCGGGGGUAAACACAAAUGCUCCCUGCUUUCCUUACAGCUCUGCUUCAAAGUCCUGCAGCACGCUCAUGAAUGUACCCAAUGCUCCUCUUCCCUCCUUUAACAACAUGUGGUACAUGGGGUAAGGAGUCAUAUUGUGUUCUUUUGGGUCUUUUUAAAACAAAUUUUUAUUUAACCUCUGCUUUGACCCAGCACGUAAGUGUGUUGCCCAGAUAUGCUCCAUUUCAGUUUAUUUAACCAGAAUGUUUGCUUACUCAGUGACCACUGGAGGGGAACUACUGCUCUUAUUAAUUCCACAAUGGGUAUUUGUUGCUUCUUGUUUUCUGACAUUUUCUUUAUGACCCUAAUUGCAGAGUUCUUGUUUUCAGAUAAUAAAUGCACGUGUCUAUUUGCUCAGGCAUUAUGCAAUUGAUCUCCAGCUAUUAAUUAAAGAUCUAGACUCAAUGUCUCUGAACCUGCCUCCGGAUAUUUGUCCUCAUUGUGUCAUACCUUGGGUGCACAAACAGGGAAACCACUCACAGCACUGCAUGCACGCUGCUCGUUCUCUUUAAUUACAAAGUCUGAAUUCUGGAGCUCGCAAAGAAGGAAUUACACGGAGCAAAGAAUAUUUUUCUGAUGGGAUUUUUAUUCUUCCUUCUUUCACUGGGCUGCCAGCAUUUCUCCCAAGAUGCUGACCUGCAAGCAUAAUGAGAUGUUUGUGUUGUUCUCAGCAUUACAGACCAAAAGGGGUUUAUUUUUUCCUUUAUUGUUGCUGCUGUUAAUAGCAGGGCAAAAUUCAGCUGACAUUACGAAGAAGAUGAAGAUUUCAUGGGUGAAAAGAGAAAUCUUUUUUUUCUUGGUUGCUUUUUCCUCCCAAGAGCCCAUUUAGGCAAAUACGUUAUAUGAUCCUGUGAACAAAUUGUUACUUUUCCAGACUGCUCUGUUUUCUGUGUAAACACUUUAAUGUAGCAGCGUACAAGAACAGCACUUUCAAUCCAAAACGCAUCAAAAAUAGACCUUCCAGAACAUUUGGAACUUGUUAGGCUCCAGAAGGAAAAAGGGAAGGAGAGACUGUGAAAAAAAGCUUUUCACCUCCUAACUGCUCUCUUUUUUAUAUUUCUUAAUGUUCUAAAAAUCCUACCGGAUUGCUAUGAAGCUUUUCAAAGCUCAGAACAGCAUGGGUCCCCAAAUAUAGCGAAGGCGCAGCUGAGAGAGGCAGAAAUUGUUUUCAGUCAAUUUAGUAAGAAGUCAUUACACUUGAAGAGAAAACCUAAUGAGCUUGGGAAGCCAGGAUUUGGUACCUACCCCUUUUAUACACUUCCUGUUCCCCUUAGGAAAAUCAUCCAGCCUCUUUGUGACUCAGUUUCCUCGCCGCCAAAUGAGAAUAGCAACACUUUCUGACCUCACAGGGAGUGCGUCUGAGAAGCAGUUGAGUACCUGGAGGGAAGGAGCUAAAAAAUAGACAUCUUUAGCACCAGCAGAUGCAGCGGGUGUACCUCACUGCAGCAAAUUUCCAGGUGAAGAGUCUUCUACUGGAAAAAUACUGAUUCAAUGCCACUGAAAUGCUUGGGGAAAAUAAAUGUUGUUUAAUACGUUAAAAAGUAGCAGUGGAUUUUGCUGUUGAGAUACAUCCAGGUUGGAUCUGUGCAGUUGGAAAUUACUUUAUCAGUUAAAAAAAACCAGUCAUGACAGUGUUGAUCUUAUCACAGCCAAGUUCUUCAGUGUUUUCACAUUUGAUGUUUCUACAACUUCUCUUUUGAAGUACUGCUUCACAGGAAAAAAAAUAAAUAAAGCUUAACAUUUUUUUUUCUGGCCCUUGAAAAAAAAAAAAGACCAUCACUAACCCACAAAAAAAGAAUGAACUUUUGGUUCUUAUCUCUCUCAGUAGUCACAGCCACCCAAGGAUGUGCGGGAGCAUUAUCUGUACGCAAGCUAAAAUCCCCAGGAGUGCUGUCAGCAAUCUGCAGUGAGCACAUGUCAAAAUAAGAGAUUAGAAUUGCUGGUUUGGUUGCAAGCUCAAAACGCUCUUUUUUUUUUUUUUUUUUUAUUUUAUUUUAUAUUUCCAUUCCCCCAACAAAUUAAAUCUUUUGCCUCCAGAGCUGUAGUGUUAUAGCUAUCAUCUCUUUAUGCAUUUGAGUUAUGAAUUGCGGGCAUCUCUGCCUGCUUCUUCUUAUAUUAAAAUGGGCUGCUGUAACCUCACUGUUCCAUACUAAGAAGAUACGCAAUCCUUGUGAUACAGUAUCAUAGCAUUUUGGCAUCAUUUCAUCCUGCGUAAGAAAAUGAACGCUAUGAGAACGUUGGCAUAAUCUUUUGGCUUCACAGGCUUGGCUGCCGCAGGCUCAGCUUCUGAAGGUUUAAAAACUUUUAUCCCAGUUCAGAUAAUAUUGCCAAAACUUGGGUUGUCUUCUAUAGAAAAUAAUUGCUUGUCCAAGUCUUUACAGUCUCUAUGCUAGUUUAAUAACAAGUAAUUAGUUGAAUAAGUCCAAUUAAGGCCUUUGUACAGAUCUGAGAUUGGAGUAGGACUGUAGGUCAAGUUUCAUUUUAAAAUCCAUUAGAAUUUCUAUCACUCCGUACACACCCAGGGCAAAGCUAUUAUGGGCUUUCCCAUUAACACAUAUGAUUCAUUAUUUGGACUUGGAGCCCAGAUCUAACAAUGUAUGUAUUUAAAUCCCUAAAGCAUACCUAGAACAGUAGCAUUCACUGUGAUCAGGAGCUCCUUUUUUCACCUUUCUCUGAUAGAUGUGCUAGACUCGGGGAUACCUGUGAAUGGCGGUGGAAAAAAGGUUAAAGCACACUUGUGCAUGUGGAACAGUGCUUUGAAACAAUACAUGUGAAUUUUACCUUAGAUGGUACUUCACAGAAGAACCAUAAAGUUUCAGUGGGCAAACUUCCCCACUGGAUCCACACCUAACCAGUGCUCCGUUUUUCAACAAGCUGUACUUCAGUUUCAUGUACUGUUGAUGUUCAUGCAUUCUAAUGGGUGACUGUUGCUCCUUGCUUUGACAAACUUCACUUCAGCUCUUGGCUCCUGCUUUGACAGUGCACAAGCAGGGAGAGCAGCUUGUACAGCUUUCUCACUGAAAAGCAACAUUUGCUUUUGAGAUUAACGGGCUGAGCUAGGAAAAUUUCACAGCCCUCCAGACAAAAUGUUGUCAAGCCAUUAUAAGUACAAAAGGUUGUGUGUCUGUUUUGCAAGCCAACUCAUUUACUGAGUGUCAUUAGGAGCUCAUACACCUCCCUGUUGUGAUGUUCUCAUUAUUAAAUUAUAGAGGGUAUCACAGUAAUUUGAGAUGUGGACUUUAAGUGUCAUUUCUAUCCUCUCUCGCUCCACUUGAUGGUCAGAGCUAUCUAUUCUUAUCACGCACAGACAAAUUUCCUCUGCUGUGGCUUUUCUGUGAAUGGUUAGAUUAAUUGCUGUCUAUCUUGAACCACUGUUACGUCUACUCAGAUAUUAAAAAGAAGUUUAAAUUCGAUUCUUUUUAUUUCAUUGGCACUCUGCACAGAGUUAAGAGUCAUAAUCCCAGUGGGAUUAGUGCUCACUAUGUCAGAUGCAGAUUUUGAAAAUUGUGAGAUGACAAUAAUAGUGAGAAUGAUAAUCGUAUGAACCGUUUCAAGCUACGGAGAUUCAAGAAAUAAUCAUCAUUGUGGUUUGAAUAUAGUAAGAAUUUCUUUUAUGACUUCAAGGUCAGUAUGAAACAGAAAUGUUAUGCAAAGUAAUGUAAAGAAAAAUAAGAUCAGAAGAUUAGCUCUAACUGUCAGAACAAAAGUUCAUUCAGCCCAAAUCCAGCAUCUUCAGAAAGCAGACAAAGAGAUAUCCUUCUCUUGUUACAUCCUCCCAGCUUUCAGGACCAGGUGAUACAAGGACUCUCUGGUCCAGAAAAGAUAACCGGACUCUUAAGAGCCACCGAUGGACUCAACCUACCAAAAAUGUGACAGUCUUUUAAACUCCUUUUUGCUUUUGGCCCCACAACUCCUUACAGCAGUACUCUCCAGAGUUCGCUGACAUGUAUUGUGAGCAAGCACGUCAAACACGUUCGUUGCUGUUUUGAAGAUUGCUGCCUGCAGAGUUUAGAAAUCAUCCCUUGAUUCUUAUGCUGAACAAAGAGAAACACAGUUUAUGUAAGGUAAACUGACAGCAAUCAUCUCAGUGGGUUAUUAUUGUUUGUGAUGCAUAAUUUAAAAGCCAGAUUUUCCAACAAUUUAUGGAUGCAAUUAUACAUCUAAUUUGCACAGUUAUUGCAGACACAUAUAAUAUCAGUUGCUUGCAUGUUCAGCUGGGCUAACGUAGGGCUGGAACAGCACUGAAUGAUCCUUUUGUACAUUUUUCCAGGGGAUUAUGCCACAUUUAGCAUAAUCUCUUCUAACAACAGUAAGUCAGCUCUCUAAUAGUUUCACACCAGAUGCAAACCACAUUGUUUUUCAAGGAACAAACAUCCAUUAUUGUCAAUGGACAUUGUUAUAGAAGAAAUCUUCUGACUUUGGAGCUUAGCAGAAAUGCAUACUGAUUUAAAAAAAUUAAACAGCAUGGAAAGACCAAGAUAUUCCUUUCAAAGCAUAGGUCACAGCAUAGGUACAACAUCUGACUUUUUUUGUUGGGGUUUUCAAGCUGACUCACUGCAAUAUACAGAAUGCAUAUGUAUAUCAUACAUAUAUAUGUAUAGUACAUAUGCUCAACAAGUUUUUACACAGCAAAGGCUUUGUCAAAUUGCUUUAGAGACCACAGCCUCCGAAGCAUGCAGGAGGCCAUGAUGCUGGACAGGCUUGUAAAUCCUUAUUUGUCACACACAGCACAGUAAAAAGAAGUGCUGCAAUUUGUGCUGUAAUCCUGCCCAAAGACAAGCCAGUAAUGGGGCCAAAGGUUUUUUUUUUAAUAAAAAUGUCCACAAAAAUUCAGACAUUGACUCAUUUUCAGGAAUAUGCUUCAGGAAUUCAAGCUGAACUCAUCUGAGCCCUUAGCUUUGCUCACUGGUCCAUAAUAGAGUAUGAAAUAAAGGGCUUCAGAGAGGAAUGGUCCCUCAAUUGCUGAAGAUAACUAAUUGGCCUAAUGGCAAAAAAUAAAACAAGAAACAAAUAGAAAAGAGCAAUUAUAACACUGCGGUGACUAGUCUUGUUGAUUAGACUUACUACUUUACACAGAGCAGCUAAACUGAAUUCUUCAUAAAAGAGACCAAACUGAAGUCUUUCCACUUAACUGUGUAUUACACUGAGUUAUGAGGAGAACCAUGAGUAUAAAUUAUCUACAAGAGUUUUUGUCUAGCUCCAUCGUGGUAACAGUAUGAUCACGUCAUACAGUAAGAUAUAAAUGACUCAUUUCAUUUCAUGGUAAGAUAAAUCCUGGAAGAAAUGGAAGCUUUACAAACUUGAGCCAUUCAUACGCAUUCACCUUGACUUCAUGGACUUUAAAACCUUUAAAAUAACUUUGAAGUGAGGUUAUUUAUAAAGAAAAACUACAAACAAAUUAAGUUAAAUUUACAAGGUAACACACAAUGGAUAUACAAAUAUCUGACCUGAAUGUUUGACAAAUGUAAUUCAAAUAACAAAUGAACAGUAUGGCACAAAAGGACAUAGUCACGAUUAUGGAGCUUAAAAAUAAGACUAUUUUUCCAAGCUUGUCUGCCUUCAAAGGUAUUUAAAACCUGAUUCUCCUCCAGCAUGUAUUAGUGUCAAUCAAAAUCUGCUCAGGUCAAUGGCUUUACACAAUUGCAAAAUUAGUAUAAGUGAGAGGACAAUCAGAGCUUUUGUAUGCUACAAAAAUCUCUCUUAAUAGCAACAGCAGCAGAGAAGAAGGAGGUAGGAGGUCCCUUUCCAAGACAGGCAGUGUAGACAAACAAGAAAAACCUGCUGAGCUUGUAAAUGAGGACUUGGAGGAGGAGCUGUAGCAUUAAUUUAGCCAUUAAUUCACUUCUUAAAAAUUUCCUCUAUCCUAUCUUCCACUUCAUGUGAUAUUUAGCAGGAUUUGGGUUACAAAUUUAACAUUACAUUGCAGAGAUGUGCUUUCCAUCACGACGCCCAGAAAGAAGUUAGAACUUUAAAAUUACAUGCUUGUGUGGCAGCAGUGCUUCUUGAUUUGUUUCUUGUGAAGCUGUGACAAAGAAGUGCCCACUUCACUCUUGGGCCCCAUUCGUGGCUGCCAAAUCCCAGACUGCCUUCUGCAGAGUGCAGCUAUGACUCCACCACUGGAGGCCUUGCUUGCCAGAUGCAUCUCGUUGCUGUUUGUGAUGGAUCCAGGGAAAUGUGCCCUCAGGUAACGUAUUCUCAGCUCUCGCCUCAUGUUACAGGGUUGUCCCCACUUCACAUGCACUUCGCACGCAGGCAUGUUUUUGCUGUUGGACAUCUCUAUUCUGUAACUGAACAAGGGAGUCAUCAGGAUUUCACCAGCCCACAGGGACUGUUCAAGCAGGUUGGUUCUCUCCUACUAUAUUGACCAGUUUUAAUGGACAAUGCAAGUAGGAUUAGUGCAUAGAAAAUAGUGAUGAAAAGGGAAGGAGAAGACAUUCAUAAAGCCUUGUGUGACCUGGCUUGUAGAUGUAUCAGAAGUGGACAACUGUUGUAGAGGAUCAGAUUUCCAGGUCACAGGAGCCACUAAUAAUUGGCACUAACCAUUAGGUCAGAAUCAGGAACAGAAUCAAAGGAAAAAAAAAGAAGAAAAAAAAAGUGGAAAUUCAGGAGAAUAAGCUUAUACUUCUUGCAGAUGGAUUUUCCCAGACAACAGAGAGUAAGUGUUUGGAGAAGGAAGGUGACUUAAGAAAUGCUUAAUUAACUUUAUCUUAUACCAUCAUUUCAAUGGAAAAGAGGUCACAUUUGCAUCAGUAGAUGUUUAAAGCUUGUCAGGCAGAGAGGAAAAAAUACUUAUUAAGGAAAAAAACUUUUGUUGAUAUAACUUCCUUAAAACCAUUGGGACUUUGCCAGCAGAUUAAGCCACAAAUAAUUUACCCAGAGGAUAUGAAGUCAACAAGCUUUAGAACUGUGGGAACAGCAAGUGCUGAAUAAGCCACAAAGUUAUAGAAAGAUCAGAACGUCACAAAUAAACACAGAUCAGGCUUUCAGAUGAUGACAUUGGAAGGGCUUCCUUUAAAUCCAGGUCCUUCUGUCACUUUGAGACACUGAAGCAGGAUGGCUUUGGGCAGUUUAUUCUCCUUUUGGAGCUCACAUUGCAGUAUCUGUUCUAUACACUGCUUUAGGGGAGCAGAACUCUGAUGUGAAAGUCACUUUCCAACUAAUGGAAAAAACAAACCAGUUUUCCUAUAGGAGAUAGAGGCCGUGUGUGUGGAGGACAAGCAAUAGCAGAGAAGUCCUGCCUAAGGGAAUCUUCUUUCUUCUGGCAGAGUAUCUUUGCCAGCCCAGAACUGCCCUGGAGACAAACUUGUUCAGACUCUCUCUGUACUGUUUUUAUGUUUGGCUCUGGGGAAAGGCAAGAGUUGCAGAAGACAAAACCAUCCACCUAGGCGAUGGCACUACCAUUGUUCUCAGAAGGACAUCCUCAGUCCUCACCCCCAUGCACUUGUAUGAUCAUGAACUGAUCGAGAACAGAUCAAGUCAUGUUGUGAUUUUCAGUAACCACCAAUAUUAAAACCUGAGUUUUCGCCUGAUUGUAGUAGGUGAUUACUUUUUUUCCCUUCACUUCCAAGAGACAAUAGAAAAUGUAGAAUUCUCUGAGGUUAAUUGUUAUUCAGAUUUCAUUCCCUUCAAAGCUCUUCCAGGCUGUCUAUCUUGGUUCAGUAGAGUACUGACAUCUUUUACCUUCUCCUAGUCUUGCAGACAAGCAGCAGUAGAUAAGUUUGGAAACACCACCUCAGCUAUAAGACAGUUUCUUCUUUCAUUUCUUAGCUUCUUGAGGCUUUAGAGGGGAAUCCCACUUCCAGACAGCUCAUAAAGUAAUUUGUGACACAGGAUGUCCCAGUUACUACAUAGGAAUGUUGAAAGCAUUUUAUUUUCUCCUCUUUGAUUUUUAUUGGUUGGAUUCCUGGUCUUUUGUGAGUAAUUACACCAUUUGCUUUAUGUCUUGCUUUUAUAAUGACUAAUACAAAAAUAUAUAUGUGCAAGCAAAUGGAAUUAUAUUACUAAGUGAUUAACAAUGAACAAUUAGGAUUAAUUAAGGCAAUUAUUUUAAUAAAUAAGAAUUAGCAAAAUAUAUCCAUAAACAAAACUAUGGCACAUAUUAAGCUUAGCUGAUGCAGGCUAAAGAAGUAGAGUUGUGACAGUUGGGAACAGGGGCAAGGAAGAGACAGAGAUGAUUAAACAGAAAUACCCAUAUAUAUAUAAAAGAUUUAAUUAGGGGUAAGGCAGGAGGGACUUACAUGGACUACCAUGCCACUUGUAAGGGUUGAUCUGUUAUCACUAGAAAUGGGAUUCAUGCACAGUCAUUCAUAUUUAACCUUUUUUUUUUUUCCCGUGGUACAAAGUCAGAAAGACAUUAAACUAUCUAAUAAGCAAGGGAAAAAAUAUUCUUUUCCAUCACUUUUUAGCAGUUCAGUUUUGAGGACUGAUCAUGGCACCAAGAUUAGAAUCUAUUCUUGAGGUUCAGAUCUAGACAUGAAAUUAAAGCUUUUCUAACCAAGCUUUGCACCAACAUCACUGAAACACUUUGACGUUUCUGAAUCAAUUCAUGUCAGUGUUCAUUAAGGAAGUUUUUACUAUGUGGAGUUUUGGAUAAGCUGAAGCAACUUAUCUUGUGCUAUUUUAUAGCACCCCAUAUCUCCUGAACUUCCACAUCACCACAGUACAUUGGGUUGCCGUGCUGAAGGGUGGUUCUGCUCAUGUGGCACCACAAGUGAGAGUUUGCCAUGGGUUAAUCUGUCCAAUUAAAUGGGUAUGGUCUAUUACUAGCCAUUGUUAACCUUUGGCAAAUUAAACAUCAACAGAAAGAUGCUAAUAAAGCUGUAAGCAAAGAAGUAAACUUCAAGAUUUGAUAUCCUAGAUGGUGCCAACAGUUUUCUUUCUAUAAUAAAGUGUUCCAAGUAGCCUGGGGUUCUCAAAACAGUAUCAAACCUCAGUAAAUUAUUGCUAUAAAGUUUAUAAUAAGAUUGAAUAUAGGAGGAAGUUUAAGGAGAAAAUAUAAGGUAAAUUAUAAAGAAGCACAGACACUGAGUGAAAUUCCCAGGAAUUUUGGGAAGACCUUGUAAUGUCAAAACAUGGUCUGUCUAGUCAGAUGAUAUCAGCCAGUAAAUAGUGUUUACUCUGGUGUAAAAUGAAGUUAGUUCUCUUUUGA
Molecule: long non-coding RNA, 14153 nt
Filed under: Gallus gallus (chicken)
Lineage: Eukaryota; Metazoa; Chordata; Aves; Galliformes; Phasianidae
Description: lncRNA (ENSGALG00010012928.1)
Source: RNAcentral